GAAUUCAUGGUCCGUGAAGUGUUCGGAUCGCGGCGACUGGGCGGUUCGCCGCCCCCGACGUCGCGAGAAGUCCAUUGAACCUUAUCAUUUAGAGGAAGGAGAAGUCGUAACAAGGUUUCCGUAGGUGAACCUGCGGAAGGAUCAUU
This 146-nucleotide ribosomal RNA is filed under the name Phleum pratense (timothy grass). RNAcentral describes it as "partial 18S ribosomal RNA". It matches the Rfam family "Eukaryotic small subunit ribosomal RNA", at positions 1687 to 1830 of the family's 1831-position model. The record is from RNAcentral. Lineage: Eukaryota; Viridiplantae; Streptophyta; Magnoliopsida; Poales; Poaceae.